GAUGAACGCUGGCGGCGUGCCUAAUACAUGCAAGUCGAGCGAACAGACGAGGAGCUUGCUCCUCUGACGUUAGCGGAGGAGGGGUGAGUAACACGUGGAUAACCUACCUAUAAGACUGGGAUAACUUCGGGAAACCGGCGAUAAUCCCGGAUAAUAUCUUGAACCGCAUGGUUCAAUAGAGAAAGACGGUUUUGCUGUCACUUCUCGAUGGAUCCGCGCCGCUUUAGCUAGUUGGUAAGGUAACGGCUUACCAAGGCGACGAUGCGUAGGCGACCUGUCGGGGUGGUCGGCCACACGGGAGCUGGACCGCGCACCAUGCUCCUACGGUACGCAGCAGAAGGGUAUGUGCCGCAAUGGGCGAGAGCCUGACGGAACAACGCCGCGUGAGUUAUGAAGGUCUUCGGAUCGUGAUACUCUGUUAUUAGUGAUGAACAAAUGUGGAAGUAACUAUGCACGUCUUGACGGUACCGAGUCAGAAAGCCCCGGCUAACUACGUG
This 497-nucleotide ribosomal RNA is filed under the name uncultured bacterium. Its description in RNAcentral is "partial 16S ribosomal RNA". It matches the Rfam family "Bacterial small subunit ribosomal RNA", at positions 28 to 507 of the family's 1533-position model. The record is from RNAcentral.